This 492-nucleotide ribosomal RNA is filed under the name uncultured bacterium. Its description in RNAcentral is "partial 16S ribosomal RNA". It matches the Rfam family "Bacterial small subunit ribosomal RNA", at positions 29 to 507 of the family's 1533-position model. The record is from RNAcentral.
AGUGAACGCUGGCGGUAGGCCUAACACAUGCCAGUCGAACGGCAGCACAGUAAGAGCUUGCUCUUACGGGUGGCGAGUGGCGGACGGGUGAGGAAUACAUCGGAAUCUACUUUUUCGUGGGGGAUAACGUAGGGAAACUUACGCUAAUACCGCAUACGACCUACGGGUGAAAGCAGGGGAUCUUCGGACCUUGCGCGAUUGAAUGAGCCGAUGUCGGAUUAGCUAGUUGGCGGGGUAAAGGCCCACCAAGGCGACGAUCCGUAGCUGGUCUGAGAGGAUGAUCAGCCACACUGGAACUGGAACACGGUCCAGACUCCUACGGGAGGCAGCAGUGGGGAAUAUUGGACAAUGGGCGCAAGCCUGAUCCAGCCAUACCGCGUGGGUGAAGAAGGCCUUCGGGUUGUAAAGCCCUUUUGUUGGGAAAGAAGAGCAGCAGGUUAAUACCCCGCUGUUCUGACGGUACCCAAAGAAUAAGCACCGGCUAACUUCGUG